UACAGAGGGGGCAAGCGUUAAUCGGAAUUACUGGGCGUAAAGCGCACGCAGGCGGCUUGGUAUGUCGGGUGUGAAAUCCCCGGGCUCAACCUGGGAACUGCAUCCGAAACUGCCUUGCUCGAGUAUGGGAGAGGGAAGUGGAAUUUCCGGUGUAGCGGUGAAAUGCGUAGAUAUCGGAAGGAACAUCAGUGGCGAAGGCGACUUCCUGGACCAAUACUGACGCUCAGGUGCGAAAGCGUGGGGAGCAAACAGG
RNAcentral lists this ribosomal RNA (253 nucleotides) under uncultured bacterium. RNAcentral describes it as "partial 16S ribosomal RNA". It matches the Rfam family "Bacterial small subunit ribosomal RNA", at positions 524 to 776 of the family's 1533-position model. The record is from RNAcentral.